UUCAACUUCAGUAAGACGCUGCGGGCCUUGGUGACAACAGAACUGUCCCCAGAACCGCUGACCCUGCCAACAAUAACAAAUUGCUUCAGUUAGAAAUUCCAUUUUGCUUCAAGCAAUAAAACCCUACGGAAAGACAAAUGUCUAUAUUUUUCUUGGAUCAGAUUUUGCACAGACCGUACCAGGCCGGUGCCAUUGUUCAUGAAGCUACCAAGGACCGCGGCUCCUCUUCCCUUUCAGUUUUCACCAACUUGGUUCAUUUCAGCCAACAAAUGAAAUGAUGCUCAAAUUCUAUGGCUUCUAUAAGCAGGCAACUGAAGGACCCUGUAAACUUUCAAGGCCUGGAUUCUGGGAUCCUAUUGGAAGAUACAAAUGGGAUGCUUGGAGUUCAUUGGGUGAUAUGACCAAAGAGGAAGCCAUGAUUGCAUAUGUUGAAGAAAUAAAAAAGUUUAUUUACUUAGUGGACCUGGUUUAUCUAUAACAGAAAGCAGAGUUUAGUCCUUUUGGCUGUUAACUAUAUCAGUAGCAAAAUAAC
Molecule: non-coding RNA, 532 nt
Organism: Callorhinus ursinus (northern fur seal)
Lineage: Eukaryota; Metazoa; Chordata; Mammalia; Carnivora; Otariidae
Source: RefSeq, a predicted model, not a curated record